Molecule: non-coding RNA, 175 nt
Filed under: Clostridium saccharobutylicum
Lineage: Bacteria; Bacillati; Bacillota; Clostridia; Eubacteriales; Clostridiaceae
Also listed under: 1 other name
Description: Lysine sequence
Rfam family: Lysine riboswitch aptamer
About the family: Riboswitches are metabolite binding domains within certain messenger RNAs that serve as precision sensors for their corresponding targets. Allosteric rearrangement of mRNA structure is mediated by ligand binding, and this results in modulation of gene expression. This family includes riboswitches that sense lysine in a number of genes involved in lysine metabolism, including lysC.
Source: RNAcentral
AACUAAGAUAGAGGUGCGGAAUUUAAGAGUAGUAUUACGGAUUUAAGCAUAACGAAGUAAUAUGAAAGGAACUUUCGCCGAAGUAAAUAGUUGAUUGCUUUAAUACUAUUUACUGGUUUUAUGUAAAAUAUGCAUAAAACUGUCACAAAAUAAUUUGUGGAGAGCUAUUUUCAAU